UACGUAGGGUCCGAGCGUUGUCCGGAAUUACUGGGCGUAAAGAGCUCGUAGGUGGUUUGUCGCGUUGUUCGUGAAAACUCACAGCUCAACUGUGGGCGUGCGGGCGAUACGGGCAGACUAGAGUACUGCAGGGGAGACUGGAAUUCCUGGUGUAGCGGUGAAAUGCGCAGAUAUCAGGAGGAACACCGGUGGCGAAGGCGGGUCUCUGGGCAACAACUGACGCUGAGGAGCGAAAGCGUGGGGAGCGAACAGG
RNAcentral lists this ribosomal RNA (253 nucleotides) under uncultured bacterium. RNAcentral's name for it is "partial 16S ribosomal RNA". It matches the Rfam family "Bacterial small subunit ribosomal RNA", at positions 524 to 776 of the family's 1533-position model. The record is from RNAcentral.